GGCGACGGGUGAGUAAACGUGGGCAAUCUGCCCUUCACUCUGGGACAAGCCCUGGAAACGGGGUCUAAUACCGGAUAACACUCUGUCCUGCAUGGGACGGGGUUAAAAGCUCCGGCGGUGAAGGAUGAGCCCGCGGCCUAUCAGCUUGUUGGUGGGGUAAUGGCCUACCAAGGCGACGACGGGUAGCCGGCCUGAGAGGGCGACCGGCCACACUGGGACUGAGACACGGCCCAGACUCCUACGGGAGGCAGCAGUGGGGAAUAUUGCACAAUGGGCGAAAGCCUGAUGCAGCGACGCCGCGUGAGGGAUGACGGCCUUCGGGUUGUAAACCUCUUUCAGCAGGGAAGAAGCGAAAGUGACGGUACCUGCAGAAGAAGCGCCGGCUAACUACGUGCCAGCAGCCGCGGUAAUACG
Molecule: ribosomal RNA, 414 nt
Filed under: Streptomyces sp. MBT57
Lineage: Bacteria; Bacillati; Actinomycetota; Actinomycetes; Kitasatosporales; Streptomycetaceae
Description: bacterial SSU rRNA
Rfam family: Bacterial small subunit ribosomal RNA
Source: RNAcentral